Vicia faba (fava bean) is the source of this 261-nucleotide non-coding RNA. The record is from the annotation of a GenBank genome assembly. NCBI's taxonomy places the organism in Eukaryota, Viridiplantae, Streptophyta, Magnoliopsida, Fabales, Fabaceae.
AUGUUGCCAAGCCGAACGGUAGCCCGAAGACCUCCGUAUUUGGUUUAUUUCGCAAAACAGAAUUGUUCGUACCAGCAAAACAGACUUAACGACAUUGUACUCUCCCUCCGUCUGCAACCUCUCUCCAUCUGUAACUUCCCUGCGUCUGUAGCCUCCCUCCGUCACGUCCUGCUUCCUCCCAGCUGGUACAUUCAGUUCCGGUCAACCUCAACUCUUCCUCUUCAUACACUUCAAGCAUCUUCAAGAGGAAUACUUACGUAA